RNAcentral lists this signal recognition particle RNA (292 nucleotides) under Vombatus ursinus (common wombat). Its description in RNAcentral is "Metazoan signal recognition particle RNA (ENSVURG00010021009.1)". It matches the Rfam family "Metazoan signal recognition particle RNA". Rfam says of the family: The signal recognition particle (SRP) is a universally conserved ribonucleoprotein. It is involved in the co-translational targeting of proteins to membranes. The eukaryotic SRP consists of a 300-nucleotide 7S RNA and six proteins: SRPs 72, 68, 54, 19, 14, and 9. Lineage: Eukaryota; Metazoa; Chordata; Mammalia; Diprotodontia; Vombatidae. The record is from RNAcentral.
GUCAGGUGUGGUGGCCCAUACCUGUAAUCUCUUCUGCAAAUGUUGAGACUGGCAGCUCUCUUGAGCUUGAGAGUUUGAGCUACAAUGUGCUAAGACAAUAAGAUAUCCACACUAAAUUUGGCAUUAAUAUAGUAAUCCUCCAGGAGUAGGGUGGUCACCAGAUUUCCUGAGGAUGGGUAAAUUGGCCCAGAUUAGAAAUAAACAGAUCAAGACUCAUGUACUAAUUAGAGUGGGAUUGACUCAGGAAUGUCUCCUUCAUUUUUUGGUCUGGUUGAAAUAGGGAGAUCCAGUU